CCUACGGGAGGCAGCAGUCGAGAAUCAUUCACAAUGGGGGAAACCCUGAUGGUGCGACGCCGCGUGGGGGAAUGAAGGUCUUCGGAUUGUAAACCCCUGUCAUGUGGGAGCAAAUUAAAAAGAUAGUACCACAAGAGGAAGAGACGGCUAACUCUGUGUCAGCAGCCGCGGUAAUACAGAGGUCUCAAGCGUUGUUCGGAAUCACUGGGCGUAACGCGUGCGUAGGCUGUUUCGUAAGUCGUGUGUGAAAGGCGCGGGCUCAACCCGCGGACGGCACAUGAUACUGCGAGACUAGAGUAAUGGAGGGGGAACCGGAAUUCUCGGUGUAGCAGUGAAAUGCGUAGAUAUCGAGAGGAACACUCGUGGCGAAGGCGGGUUCCUGGACAUUAACUGACGCUGAGGCACGAAGGCCAGGGGAGCGAAAGGGAUUAGAUACCCGGGUAGUC
This 446-nucleotide ribosomal RNA is filed under the name uncultured bacterium. RNAcentral describes it as "partial 16S ribosomal RNA". It matches the Rfam family "Bacterial small subunit ribosomal RNA", at positions 338 to 795 of the family's 1533-position model. The record is from RNAcentral.